Molecule: long non-coding RNA, 4462 nt
Filed under: Salmo salar (Atlantic salmon)
Lineage: Eukaryota; Metazoa; Chordata; Actinopteri; Salmoniformes; Salmonidae
Description: lncRNA (ENSSSAG00000088205.1)
Source: RNAcentral
UCAGGUUAAAGAAGGAUUUUUAAGAUUUGAGACAUAGUCUGCGGUCCAAACACUUAAAAGACACACCCUCGUCCAUUUAUGCCCGUGGGGGGAAAUCCCCGUCGCCAUCUUGGCGGGUGGUCCAAAUGGUUAGCCAAGCAAGGGAAGAUUCUAACGUAAGCCCCUCAGACCUCGUUUUCAGUCAGCUUUGCCAGUGUACAAUUAUGUUCACUCCGGGUCCUGAAACUCCCCAUAAUUCAAUUCGUGACGAUUGUACAUCCGCUAAGAAAAGUCCGCGAAAACGUAAAAACAACAUCAAUGGAGUAGUCAACAUACAAGUGUGUGGCCACCCAGGGAAAGGUGCAGGUGAGAGGGAAGCGGUGGCAGACUGAAAAAAAACAAAUCUCUGGAGAGACCUGAAAAUAGCUGUGCAGCAACGCUCCCCAUCCAACCUGACAGAGCUUGAGAGGAUCUGCAGAGAAGAAUGGGAGAAACUCCCCAACACAGUGAUAAAGACUGACGUCAAAGAGACCACAUUGAAGUCCUCCAUCCCCCACUUAGUCUGACUGCUGUUCUCUCUGGCUCCACUACAAACCCCCGCCCGGCUAUCUAGAGGUGUGAAUACCCAGCCAGCCUACAAGUAGAGGAUGGAAGUGCUUUACAGCAGAAAGAGACUUGGGACCCGGGACCAGCAGCACAAUCUUGUGUAGAGGGUGUUCUAAAUACUGUAAUUGUAAAUAGUGUGUACAUAUAUUUUUUUUUACUUUGUGUGUAUGUGGUUUGUGGUGUGUUCACUUAUGACAUUAGAUCAGCGUUGGCUGCUAACUUGGCCCUUAUCUUAAAUAUUUCACUUCUGUGUUUGGAGACAUUGGAUCAGCAUUCUCGUCACGUCUCCUGUUAGUACAAUUUAUGUAGGGAAGCUAAUGAUCCAUAAUGUAUGACAUUCCUGGGAGUGUGUAAACUUGUAUUUUUUAUUAGCGUAGCAUUUUUGUAUGUUUUAUAAAGUUAUGUUCUUGAAAAUUUAACAAUUUAACAAUUCGGUCACUUGGAGGCCACUUGGGUACUUUUGGGCAAAUCGUGAAGGACACCUGGGUGACUUCAUAGUCAUGUAGAUUACUCAUUCUUGAAGUUAUCAGUCUUUGCACAUAUACUGUUGCCCUCUUGUGGACACCAUCUAAAUUACCUCCAGCUUCCUAGCUGAAUGUGUGGCUUUUCUCUUGCAUUUCAAAGAUGGUACAACAUUUUAAAAAGAAAACCGUUUUUUUCUUUGUAUUUUCUUUUACCAGAUCUAAUGUGUUAUAUUCUUCUACAUUCAUUUCACAUUUCCACAUAUUUUCAAAGUGUUUCCUUUUAAAUGGUAUCAAGAAUAUGCAUAUCCUUGCUUCAAUGCCUGAGCUACAGGCAGUUAGAUUUAGGUAUGUCAUUUUAGGCUAAAUUUUGAAAAAAAGGUGCAGAUCCUUAAUUAAGUCUCCUCAGGUUCCCGUGCUAUUGGGAUUCUCCUGGCUCCAGCGACACAAUCCCCUCAUUGACUGGUCUGCUGGUGCCAUCAUGGGCUGGAGCCCGUUCUGCCACGCCCAUUGCCUGAAGUCAGCGCAGCCUGCCCUGGGAUGUCUCCCUGGGGGCUCGGAAGUUGCCCCGGACCUCUCCGCCUUUCCCGCAGAGUACCUGGAUCUCCGGGAGGUGUUCAGUAAGGCCCGGGCCACUUCGCUUCUGCACAGGGUUCUCUUUGUGAAGAAGGACAAAACCCUGCCCCCGUUCAUCAACUGCCGGGGUCUCAAUGACAUCAUGGUGAAGAACCGCUACCCGCUACCCCUCAUCUUCUCGGCCUUCGAGCCUCUCCAGGGGGCCACCAUGUUCUCCAAGCUGGACCUACGGAAUGCCUACCACCUGGUGCGGAUACGGGAAGGGGACGAGUGGAAGUCUGCCUUCAACAUGGCCAGCGGUCACUACGAGUAUCUGGUCAUGCCAUUUGGCCUUACCAACACCCCUGCUGUGUUCCAGGCUCUGGUUAAUGAUGCUCUCCGUGACAUGUUGAACCGGUUCGUCUUUGUCUACCUCGAUGACAUCCUUGUCUUCUCCCGCUCCACCCAAAAACACGUGCUCCACGUCCGACAUGUUCUCCAAUGCCUCCUGGAGAACCAGCUUUUUGUAAAAGCAGAUAAGUGUGAAUUCCAUCGCUUCACCAUCCCCUUUCUGGGUUACAUCAUCGCCGCAGGGAGUGUACAGAUGGAUCCCGGAAAGGUGAGAGCUGUGGUGGAUUGGCCCCAGCCUACGUCCAGGGUGCAACUGCAACAUUUCCUGGGAUUCAGCAACUGUUAUCGCUGCUUUAUCGGGGGUUACAGCACCCUGGCUCCCCCUCUGUCUGCACACCUCUCCCAAGGUUCUGUUCACAUGGUCCCCAGCUUCUGACCGGGCGUUCUGGGAUCUAAAACACCGCUUCACCACAGCUCCCAUCUUGGUUCAUCCUGACCCGUCCCACCAGUUUGUGGUGGAGGCUGAUGCUUCGGAUGUCGGAGUGGGGGCUGCCCUGUCCCAGCGUUCUGCCCUGGACCUCAAGUUACAUCCCUGCUUCGCCUUCUGCCACCGCCUCAAUGCCACAGAGAGGGACUACGAUGUGGGAAAUCGCGAGCUUUUUGCAGUGAAGAUGGCGUUGGAGUGGAGGCACUGGCUGGAGUGGGCAGAACAUCUGUUCAUUGUGUGGACUGACCACAAGAACCUGGAAUAUCUCCGCACCGCCAAGCGCCUCAAUUCCAGGCAAGCUAGGUGGGCCCUGCUGUUCACCCAGUUCAACUUCUCCCUCUCAUACUGGCCGGAAUCCAAGAAUGUCAAGCCGGAUGAGCUGUCACGCCGCUAUAGCCCCACGGCUUCAAACCCGAAAACCGAGACCAUCCUUCCCACCUCAUGCCUGAUGACUGCACUCAGCUGGGGAAUAGGGGAGAAGGUUCAUGAGGCGCAGUUUUCCCAGCCGAACCCCAGGGAGGCCCAGAUAACCAGAUGUUCGUUCCUGACGCGGUCCGCUCCUUGGUCCUGGAGUGGGCCCACUUCUCCAGGCUUGCCUGCCACCCGGGCUCCCGGCAGACCCUGGCCUUUGUGUGACAACACUUUUGGUGGCCUACCAUGGUUCCUGAUGUCUCCCUGUUCGUCACCGCAUGCACGAUUUGUGUACAGAACAAGACUCCUCGGCAAGCUCCGGCUGGUCUCUUUCAACCUCUUCCUGUCCCUCACCGUCCCUGGUCUCACAUAUCCCUGGACUUUGUCACGGGUCUCCCCCCGUCUGAUGGCAACACCAAAGCCGCCCACUUCAUUCCUCUCCCCAAACUACCCUCUGCCAAAGAGACGGCCCAGCUCAUGGUGCAGCACGUCUUCCGGAUCCAUGGACUGCCAAUGGACAGGGUCUCCGACCGGGGUCCUCAGUUCUCGUCCCAGUUCUGGAGUGCGUUCUGCACACUCAUUGGGUCAUCAGCCAUCCUGUCCUCCGGGUUCCACCCCAGUCCAAUGGCCAGUCGGAGCAAGCCAACCAAGACCUGGAGACGACUCUGCGCUGCCUGGUCUCCGCCAACCCCACCACCUGGACCUGGAGCCAGAAACUAGUGUGGGUCGAAUACGCCUGCAACACCCUUCCUUGCUCUGCCACGGGUCUCUCGUCCUUUGAGUGUUCCCUGGGGUAUCGGACCCCACUCUUCCCUGAGCUUGAGGAAGAGGUCGGCAUACCUUCGGCCCAGAUGUUUGUCCGCCGCUGUCAUCGUACCUGGAAGAGAGUCCGGUUGGCCCUUCUCAAGACCACCUCCAGGUAUCGACGACAAGCGGAUCGCCACUAUCCCCGGAUGCCCGGUAUUGUCUCGGGCAGAAUGUAUGGCUGUCCUCCCGGGAUCUGCCCCUCCGAGUGGAAUCCCGCAAACACUCCCCCCGGUUUAUCGGCCUUUUCCCCAUCUCAAAGGUCAUUAGCCCCUCUGCUGUUCGUCUUCUGUUGCCCCGUACCCUCCGUAUUCAUCCCACUUUCCUGGCCCACGCCUCUCCCUGUAUCAUCAACGGCCAACAGGCCUAUACUGUAAGGCGUCUCCUGAUGGUUUGACCUUGUGGCAGGGGGUUCCAGUACCUGGUUGACUGGGAGGGUUAUGGCCCAGAGGAGAGGUGCUGGGUCCCCGCUAGGGGUGCCAGGUCCCAGGUGUCACCAAUCUUCCCCAAUAUCACCAGUGUAUUUAUACCUGUGUUCUCUGUUUUGUCUGUUGUCAGUUGGUUUUGUUUCGUGAAAACUACCUGCAUUUCCCCCCUUGCUCCUGUCUGUUCUGUUUCCUAGUUUGACCAUUCUGCCUACCCUGAGCCUGCCUGCCAUUCUGUACCUUGCAACACCACACUGGAUUAUUGACACCUGCCUGCUCUGACCCUGAGACUGCCUGCCGUUCUGGACCUUUUGCACCCUGGAUUAGUGACCUCUGCCUGCCCUUGACCUGUUGUUUUGUCUGCCCCUGUACUAGCAAUAAAC